Larimichthys crocea (large yellow croaker) is the source of this 206-nucleotide long non-coding RNA. RefSeq lists it as uncharacterized. The record is from RefSeq and is a predicted model, not a curated record. Lineage: Eukaryota; Metazoa; Chordata; Actinopteri; Sciaenidae. The transcript has 3 exons.
AGAGAACGAGCAACAUGAAUGGGAUGACGAAGACUGUCAAAAGAAGUAUCCUUUCAUCUGCCAUCAAGUUUCAAGACUGAGGAGAGUGGUGAGGGUGAAACUUCGGACUGAUGCCGACAUCUCCGAUCCAGCUAUUAGCACCCAGAUCCUCCAGAAGCUCAGUGCAGCGCUGGCAAGUCAGGGAUGGACUGACGUCAAUCUGAAAU